AAACAUCAAAAAGCCAUCUAUGAUAAAGCUGGUAUCGGUUUCAAUCCUAACGAAAAAUAAAAGUUCUUAAAAAAUCUUUAUAUUAGUUCUUUAUUACAUAUCACCUCACAUGUCACAUGUUUCAGUGGUGGUAGAGUAGGACACAAAGCAUAUAUAUGUAACAUAGAAAAAUCUGAUGGAAAAAUAGUUUAAAAGAUUUGGAUUCCAAAAGAAAUUAUGAUUGCUAACCCUAAAGGAUCUGAGA
RNAcentral lists this long non-coding RNA (244 nucleotides) under Elaeis guineensis (African oil palm). RNAcentral describes it as "long non-coding RNA (EGUI_LNC020612)". The record is from RNAcentral. Lineage: Eukaryota; Viridiplantae; Streptophyta; Magnoliopsida; Arecales; Arecaceae.